Vespula pensylvanica (western yellowjacket) is the source of this 595-nucleotide long non-coding RNA. RefSeq lists it as uncharacterized. The record is from RefSeq and is a predicted model, not a curated record. NCBI's taxonomy places the organism in Eukaryota, Metazoa, Arthropoda, Insecta, Hymenoptera, Vespidae. The transcript has 2 exons.
UCGGACACAAAUAUUUUCUUCCCUCCUUGUUUACUUACAAAUCCGAAACGUGGGUGGUCACCACGUGACGCGAACGCGCGUGCGGCGCUCCGUUUAAACGCGCCGUGUGACCGUGAAUGCGACGACCGCCAUCAUUCGCUCCUCCACGAGCUGAGAUAACAAAACUUUCUUCAAACAUCUCACGGGAAGAUCCACUCCCCUUCUAACGUCUUCUGCUAAGGACCGUAAUGGCCGAAAAGGGAAACGGAAGUAGCUGCUUUAAACGCUACGUCUCGUUUUCUCACCGACCGAUAAGAGAUAUGGCGCCUAAUUCGUAAUCACUGUGUUUGUUUGUUUUUUUUUUCUUCUUUUUCUUCUUCUUCUUCUUCUUCUUCUUUACCUUCCUUAUUCAUUGACAAAGCUUACAUUGUAUCGUCAAAGACGAAAUCAUUCUUAAAAGUGUAACAUCGAUAAGCAGGUCCUAUAUAUAAUUCUUAUGUAAGCGGAAACAGAUCCUUUUAAUACCAUUUUAUUACUGAGCAAUUUCAGGUAUAACAAUUUAUAGUUAUAUCGUAUAUCUCGAUCGUACACUUUUCAAAUAAAUAAAUCUAACGUU